GACGAACGCUGGCGGCGCGCUUAACACAUGCAAGUCGAGCGAAGCGGCGGACGGGUGAGUAACACGUGAGUAACCUGCCUUAGACCUUGGGAUAGCCCCGGGCAACCGGGAUUAAUACCAAUUGGUGUAAGAUGGACUCGCGUCCCAUUAGCAAGCUGGUGAGGUAACGGCCCACCAAGGCGACGAGGGGUAGCCGGCGUAAGAGGGUGAACGGCCACAUUAGAACUGAGAAACGGUCCAAACGCUACGGGAGGCAGAAGUGCGGAAUAAUGCACAAUGGAUGGAACUCUGAUGCAGCGACGCCGCGUGAACGAAGAAGGCUUUCGAGUCGUAAAGUUCUUUUAGAUGGGAAGCGGUGCCAUAAGAAAAAGCCCCGGCUAACUACGUGCCAGCAGACGCGGUAAUUC
This 407-nucleotide ribosomal RNA is filed under the name uncultured bacterium. Its description in RNAcentral is "partial 16S ribosomal RNA". It matches the Rfam family "Bacterial small subunit ribosomal RNA", at positions 28 to 526 of the family's 1533-position model. The record is from RNAcentral.